RNAcentral lists this ribosomal RNA (275 nucleotides) under uncultured bacterium. RNAcentral's name for it is "partial 16S ribosomal RNA". It matches the Rfam family "Bacterial small subunit ribosomal RNA", at positions 338 to 605 of the family's 1533-position model. The record is from RNAcentral.
CCUACGGGAGGCUGCAGUGGGGAAUAUUGCGCAAUGGGCGAAAGCCUGACGCAGCGACGCCGCGUGGAGGAUGAAGGUCUUCGGAUUGUAAACUUCUGUUAGGUGGGAAGAAAUCCACAAAUUUAAUACAUUUGUGGGAUGACGGUACCAUCAGAGAAAGCACUGGCUAACCUCGUGCCAGCAGCCGCGGUAAUACGAGGGGUGCAAGCGUUAUUCGGAGUGAUUGGGCGUAAAGGGUGUGUAGGCGGUAUGUUAAGUCAAUGGUGUAAUUUCUC